GCGAACGGGUGAGGAAUGCAUGGGUAACCUACCCUCGAGUGGGGAAUAACUAGCCGAAAGGUUAGCUAAUACCGCAUACGUUUCCGGGACCUCGGUUCCGGAAAGAAAGCAAUACCGUGGGUAUUGCGCUCAUGGAUGGGCUCAUGUCCUAUCAGCUUGUUGGUGAGGUAACGGCUCACCAAGGCUUCGACGGGUAGCUGUCUGAGAGGACGAUCAGCCACACUGGCACUGCGACACGGGCCAGACUCCUACGGGAGGCAGCAGUAAGGAAUAUUGCGCAAUGGACGAAAGUCUGACGCAGCGACGCCGCGUGGGGGAUGAAGGUCUUCGGAUUGUAAACCCCUUUCGGGAGGGAAGAGGAGUGGGUAACCACUGGACGGUCCUCCAGAACAGCCACGGCU
This 401-nucleotide ribosomal RNA is filed under the name uncultured bacterium. RNAcentral describes it as "bacterial SSU rRNA". It matches the Rfam family "Bacterial small subunit ribosomal RNA", at positions 98 to 498 of the family's 1533-position model. The record is from RNAcentral.